AGAGCAUGACCAAGGAGCAAAAAUACCAAGCCUGGAUCACUAGGAGGGCUGAGAUUACCGCCAGCAAGAGGUUGGGCCCACAGAGUAGCGAGAAUGUCUGGGAGUACAGGAGGUGAGAAAACCUUCUCUUCUGAUCAGCCAACCUUGUAUGCCAAGCUUGACAUCUUCUGCGCCCUUCUUUCCCCUUCUCUGAAUCCGCUCACUAGGGACGACAACGUUGUUCGGACGGGGAAGGAACAGAGUGGCUUUAGCACGGUCGUCUGAUCUUCACAUCUGGCAUCAUCAUCCUGUCUCUCUCAAGAGAAGAGCUCGGCGUCCUCCGCUCCAACUCCCGAAGGAGAUCCAGUUCAGAUUCCCCCUUUUCUCCAUCAAUCCGUCGAAAAAUCUCCGAUCGCACUCUUAGCACCCCCAAUCCAUUUUCGAUCCGCCGCCCGCCUGGCGAGUCGAAGAGGGAUGGGGAGGGUUGGGGGAUUCAAAGGUGCAUGCACGGAUCUUCAGCAAAGGUUCCCUCGAGCAAAUCGAGGUUGUCAAUCUUGCGAAAAUCCUUGCCCCUCUUUCCCCCCUCUAAACUUCCCUCUCGGCUCGUCAGGUGAUCCCCUAGUAGGACUUGAAGAGGUGCGGACGAUCCUAACCCUAAGUUAUCAGCCAUGUCGGUCAAGUACCCGCUGCGACCAUCCUUUCCUUUUUUGAUCUUUUGUCCGAUCGUCCCUCUGAGAUGGUCCAUUGGGUCGGAUUGGAUGUCCUGCGGGGAAAAGGGUGGAGUCUGGAAGCAUCCAUCCUCAUCUCUAGUCUGCCCACUUUUUGGGACGGAGGGUGAUGGGGUUGCUCGGCUCGCCUGGAGAACGGGUCCUCCUCUGGCCGACUGACCGGCGCGUCAGCUCGGAAUGGGGGGAAGGUGUGAAGAAACUUCGAGGAUCACGACUCCAUGACCACUCGACUCGCUUUUCCCAAAUCGCUGAGUCGAAGGGUUGUGAUGGAGACGAGGUCCGCGUUGUUUUUGACCUUCUGCGCUGUUGUCCUUGACUUUUUCUCCCUCUCUCUUUUUCAAUCACAUCUUGGGAUUCCACUGUCGACUUUUUCCAUACCGACUCCCUUUCCCCCUGGCAGAGGGUCCCAGAAAGGGGUCUUGGAGGAAGACAAAGGGUCUUGAUCGUCGGAACUCAUGCUGAUUUGAAAAAGGGGAAGAGGAAUGACAAGGCGACAUCUCAGCUCGUUUCUCACUCCGACGGUCGUUUCCAACCUCGAUGCCUGUCAGCAGGUGCUCCGAAAGGAGCAAGAAGUUGGGAAGGCCACCACUCCUCAUUGAACCCACCUUGCCUUCUUCACCUUGGUCGCUGAAGAGAUGAAGGAAAGUGGGUGUUCAAAGGUUUCAAAAGGCGUAGAGAGUUUUCUUGUACUCCUCUUUUUCUGCAGCCUCCUUGUUCCGAUGUCCCUCGACCCCCUUUCGUCUUCGGGAAAAGGGUAUGAAGAGGCCUCGGAAAGCUUGGGUGGUACGCCUCAGGAUCUUGAAUCCUGGAAGGAUCAGGGAAUUGUGAUGGGAGGAAAAUCGAUAUCUCGGUUUACUCUCACCAUGAUCUCUUCGAUCCAGCUAACAAAGAGGAGAGGGUGCGGUGCGAUUUUUUCUAAUCGGAUUUUG
RNAcentral lists this non-coding RNA (1636 nucleotides) under Violaceomyces palustris. Lineage: Eukaryota; Fungi; Basidiomycota; Ustilaginomycetes; Violaceomycetales; Violaceomycetaceae. The record is from RNAcentral.